GGGGGGGGGGGGGGAGGGGGGGGGGGGAGGCGGGCGGGGGGCGGGGGGGGGGGGGGGGGGGGGGGGGGGGGGGGGGGGGGGGGGCGGGGGGGGCGGGGGGGGGGGGGGGGGGGGCGGGGGGGGCGCGGGGGGCGGGGGCGGGGCCCGGGGUUUUUUUUUUAUUUGGUUUGGAGGCCCAGGGGCCCUGGCCCGGGGGUUUUAAUGCAGGUUGGAGUGGUCGGGGGGCAAAAAAAACCCGAGCUUACAAUUUUCUCUUUCCCGGGGGUUCCCAGAGGAAAAGGAGUCUGACAGGGGGACACCGUGGCCACCUCCCUACGGAGAGGUAACAUUGGAACGGGUUAUAUCCGUACCCACACGAACCGCUUUGUUUUAUUGAAGGCCUUUUGGGUUCGGGGAAGGACGACCCCGCGGCCAUUAGGUAGUUGUGAAGUAACGGCUCACCAAGGCCCCGAUUCCAACCCCCCCUGAGGGGUGUUCGCCCACUUGGGGAUGGAGCCCCGCCCCAAAUUCCUAGGGGGAGCAGCAGUAGGAAUCUUCGGCAAUGGAAGAAAGUUUGACCGAGCAACCCCGCGUGAGUGAAGAAGGUUUUCGGAUCGUAAAACUCUGUUGUUAGAGAAGACCAAGGAUGAGAGUAACUGUUCAUCCCUUGACGGUAUCUAACCAGAAAGCCACGGCUAACUACGUGCCAGCAGCCGCGGUAAUACGUAGGUGGCAAGCGUUGUCCGGAUUUAUUGGGCGUAAAGCGAGCGCAGGCGGUUUCUUAAGUCUGAUGUGAAAGCCCCCGGCUCAACCGGGGAGGGUCAUUGGAAACUGGGAGACUUGAGUGCAGAAGAGGAGAGUGGAAUUCCAUGUGUAGCGGUGAAAUGCGUAGAUAUAUGGAGGAACACCAGUGGCGAAGGCGGCUCUCUGGUCUGUAACUGACGCUGAGGCUCGAAAGCGUGGGGAGCAAACAGGAUUAGAUACCCUGGUAGUCCACGCCGUAAACGAUGAGUGCUAAGUGUUGGAGGGUUUCCGCCCUUCAGUGCUGCAGCUAACGCAUUAAGCACUCCGCCUGGGGAGUACGACCGCAAGGUUGAAACUCAAAGGAAUUGACGGGGGCCCGCACAAGCGGUGGAGCAUGUGGUUUAAUUCGAAGCAACGCGAAGAACCUUACCAGGUCUUGACAUCCUUUGACCACUCUAGAGAUAGAGCUUCCCCUUCGGGGGCAAAGUGACAGGUGGUGCAUGGUUGUCGUCAGCUCGUGUCGUGAGAUGUUGGGUUAAGUCCCGCAACGAGCGCAACCCUUAUUGUUAGUUGCCAUCAUUCAGUUGGGCACUCUAGCAAGACUGCCGGUGACAAACCGGAGGAAGGUGGGGAUGACGUCAAAUCAUCAUGCCCCUUAUGACCUGGGCUACACACGUGCUACAAUGGGAAGUACAACGAGUCGCGAAGUCGCGAGGCUAAGCUAAUCUCUUAAAGCUUCUCUCAGUUCGGAUUGUAGGCUGCAACUCGCCUACAUGAAGCCGGAAUCGCUAGUAAUCGCGGAUCAGCACGCCGCGGUGAAUACGUUCCCGGGCCUUGUACACACCGCCCGUCACACCACGAGAGUUUGUAACACCCGAAGUCGGUGAGGUAACCUUUUGGAGCCAGCCGCCUAAGGUGGGAUAGAUGAUUGGGGUGAAGUCGUAACAAGGUGGCCUCU
Molecule: ribosomal RNA, 1681 nt
Filed under: Enterococcus durans
Lineage: Bacteria; Bacillati; Bacillota; Bacilli; Lactobacillales; Enterococcaceae
Description: bacterial SSU rRNA
Rfam family: Bacterial small subunit ribosomal RNA
Source: RNAcentral